Molecule: long non-coding RNA, 484 nt
Organism: Cloeon dipterum
Lineage: Eukaryota; Metazoa; Arthropoda; Insecta; Ephemeroptera; Baetidae
Exons: 3
Source: RefSeq, a predicted model, not a curated record
AUAUUCAUAUUUGUUUGGAAACGAAGCUGUGUGUUAAUAAUUAUUUAAUAAAUUAUGAUUUGUACUAAAGAAAAAUCUUUAGGUGUUGUGGGAGAAAAUUUGGCCAACGUGUUGUGCUUUGGGAAUGAAGCCGAUUAGUUUUGAAUCAGUGCAGAAACUGCAAUCAGUCGGAGAGUUCUUCCAAGACUGGACUUUCAACACCAAAUUUUGGACGAGUGGCACGUUCACCGAAUGUGGAAAUUCAUCGUCUUUAACUUGGUGCUCGAUUCCAAGCAAUAAUUUCACCAAAGAAAUGUGGCACCCGAACGGAAACCAAACGGAUUCUCCUGGAACCUGCGUCAGCGCGACGGCAGAGGCGGGAAAUCAAUUUUUAUUGAGGCGUGAAUUGUGCGCCAAGCGGUUUGCUUACGCCUGCGAGGCUGUGAUGGAGAAUCCAGGUCUGCUGCUCGAAAACGGAUGUCCGUCACAACAGAGCUGCGUCAAA